This 253-nucleotide unclassified non-coding RNA is filed under the name uncultured Gammaproteobacteria bacterium. Its description in RNAcentral is "contains 16S-23S intergenic spacer region". It matches the Rfam family "Bacterial small subunit ribosomal RNA", at positions 524 to 776 of the family's 1533-position model. Lineage: Bacteria; Pseudomonadati; Pseudomonadota; Gammaproteobacteria. The record is from RNAcentral.
UACGGAGGGUACGAACGUUAAUCGGAAUUACUGGGCGUAAAGCGCGCGUAGGCGGUUCGGCAAGUGGGAUGUGAAAGCCCUGGGCUUAACCUGGGAACUGCAUUCCAAACUGUCGAGCUAGAGUAUGGUAGAGGGAGGUAGAAUUUCCUGUGUAGCGGUGAAAUGCGUAGAUAUAGGAAGGAAUACCGGUGGCGAAGGCGGCCUCCUGGACCAAUACUGACGCUGAGGUGCGAAAGCGUGGGGAGCAAACAGG